AGCUCCAAUAGCGUAUAUUAAAGUUGCUGCAGUUAAAAAGCUCGUAGUUGCAUUUCCGAGGCAAGGGAUUAGUCCGACCUUUGGUGGGUAUUUAAUCCUCUUGCCUCGUCCUUGAGUGGUGCUUCUUGGUAUUAAGUUAUCGAGGAGAUAGCCGCUCAUCGUUUACUGUGAGAAAAUUAGAGUGUUCAAAGCAGGCUUAUGCCGUUGAAUAUAUUAGCAUGGAAUAAUAAGAUAGGACCUCGGUACUAUUUUGUUGGUUUGAGAACCAAGGUAAUGAUGAAUAGGGACAGUUGGGAGUAUUCGUAUUCAGUUGUCAGAGGUGAAAUUCUUAGAUUUACGGAAGACGAACUACUGCGAAAGCAUUUACCAAGGAUGUUUGCA
This 381-nucleotide ribosomal RNA is filed under the name uncultured marine Chaetocerotaceae. RNAcentral describes it as "SSU rRNA". It matches the Rfam family "Eukaryotic small subunit ribosomal RNA", at positions 587 to 972 of the family's 1831-position model. The record is from RNAcentral. Lineage: Eukaryota; Bacillariophyta; Thalassiosirophyceae; Chaetocerotales; Chaetocerotaceae.